AGAACUUUGAAGAGAGAGUUCAAGAGUACGUGAAACCGUUAAGAGCCAAACGGGUGGGACCUCGAAGGUCGAACCGGGGGGAUUCAGCUCGUCGGCUCAGGUCGGCCGAGCGCGGGAUUCGCUGAGGCGACCCAGGCACUCUUGGGCGUGCCCGCGCUCGAGCCGGCGCCGGCGGGCGUAUUUCCCCCCGUGAUGUAGGACGCCGCGACCCGUUGCUGGGGACGUCUAAGGCCCGGUUGGACUGGUACCCCGACGUCGCGCCUCCGUGCCGGCGAAGGGGGAAACCUCCGGUGUCCUGGCUGCCCUGCGACGGUCGUGCAGCAGAGGGGCCCCUGUGGCCCUCUCUCGCGGCGUGCAAAAAGUCGGUGACCCACCCGACCCGUCUUGAAACACGGACCAAGGAGUCUAACAUGUGUGCGAGUCAUUGGGCGCACUAAACCCAGAGGCGCAAUGAAAGUGAAAGGGGGGCGUCCUCGCGGCGCCCUCCGGGGCCGAUCCCUGACCGAGCGAGGCCGCCGUGGUUGACCCACACCAAAGCGGGGCCGCCGAGGCGGCGCGCGGGGUGAGACCCUUUCCCCCGUUAGCGCCGCCGGCCCCGCGGGCUCCCGGCGCGCUCUUUGGUCCGGGCCCGUUUAACCGCGGGUCCGCCUGUACGCAGGGGGGCGCAGGCCCGGGACUUGCCACCCGACGCCGUCGCGCGAAUCUGUUGUUGGCCUCGCCGGCUCUGCUUGGGCUCUCGGUUGGCGUGCCGCGUGUCUUUGGGCGGGUCGUUGCGGGCGGGGCGGGCCUUCGCGGGCUCGUCCUUCCCCUCGGCUCGUCCGGCGCGGUUCCGCCCUCCGAUCCUGCUCUGUCCGGCGUGGCCUAGCGCGCGUGCUGUCGGCAAGUACCAUGAGCAGACAUGUUGGGACCCGAAAGAUGGUGAACUAUGCCUGGCCAGGAUGAAGCCAGA
This 949-nucleotide ribosomal RNA is filed under the name Lissocarcinus polybiodes. RNAcentral describes it as "partial 28S ribosomal RNA". It matches the Rfam family "Eukaryotic large subunit ribosomal RNA", at positions 370 to 856 of the family's 3401-position model. Lineage: Eukaryota; Metazoa; Arthropoda; Malacostraca; Decapoda; Portunidae. The record is from RNAcentral.